CCUACGGGAGGCAGCAGUGGGGAAUAUUGCACAAUGGGGGAAACCCUGAUGCAGCGACGCCGCGUGAGUGAAGAAGUAUUUCGGUAUGUAAAGCUCUAUCAGCAGGGAAGAAAAUGACGGUACCUGACUAAGAAGCCCCGGCUAACUACGUGCCAGCAGCCGCGGUAAUACGUAGGGGGCAAGCGUUAUCCGGAUUUACUGGGUGUAAAGGGAGCGUAGACGGCAGCACAAGUCUGGAGUGAAAUGCCGGGGCUUAACCCCGGAACUGCUUUGGAAACUGUGCAGCUAGAGUGCAGGAGGGGUAAGUGGAAUUCCUAGUGUAGCGGUGAAAUGCGUAGAUAUUAGGAGGAACACCAGUGGCGAAGGCGGCUUACUGGACUGUAACUGACGUUGAGGCUCGAAAGCGUGGGGAGCAAACAGGAUUAGAUACCCUAGUAGUC
RNAcentral lists this ribosomal RNA (440 nucleotides) under uncultured bacterium. RNAcentral's name for it is "partial 16S ribosomal RNA". It matches the Rfam family "Bacterial small subunit ribosomal RNA", at positions 338 to 795 of the family's 1533-position model. The record is from RNAcentral.